Molecule: ribosomal RNA, 490 nt
Filed under: uncultured bacterium
Lineage: Bacteria
Description: partial 16S ribosomal RNA
Rfam family: Bacterial small subunit ribosomal RNA
Source: RNAcentral
AUUGAACGCUGGCGGCAGGCCUAACACAUGCAAGUCGAACGGUAACAGGAAGCAGCUUGCUGCUUCGCUGACGAGUGGCGGACGGGUGAGUAAUGUCUGGGAAACUGCCUGAUGGAGGGGGAUAACUACUGGAAACGGUAGCUAAUACCGCAUAACGUCGCAAGACCAAAGAGGGGGACCUUAGGGCCUCUUGCCAUCGGAUGUGCCCAGAUGGGAUUAGCUAGUAGGUGGGGUAACGGCUCACCUAGGCGACGAUCCCUAGCUGGUCUGAGAGGAUGACCAGCCACACUGGAACUGAGACACGGUCCAGACUCCUACGGGAGGCAGCAGUGGGGAAUAUUGAACAAUGGGCGCAAGCCUGAUGCAGCCAUGCCGCGUGUAUGAAGAAGGCCUUCGGGUUGUAAAGUACUUUCAGCGGGGAGGAAGGGAGUAAAGUUAAUACCUUUGCUCAUUGACGUUACCCGCAGAAGAAGCACCGGCUAACUCCGUG